RNAcentral lists this ribosomal RNA (346 nucleotides) under uncultured bacterium. RNAcentral's name for it is "partial 16S ribosomal RNA". It matches the Rfam family "Bacterial small subunit ribosomal RNA", at positions 338 to 682 of the family's 1533-position model. The record is from RNAcentral.
CCUACGGGAGGCAGCAGUGAGGAAUAUUGGUCAAUGGGAGAGAUCCUGAACCAGCCAAGCCGCGUGAGGGAAGACGGCCCUAUGGGUUGUAAACCUCUUUUGUCGGAGAACAAAACCCGGGACGUGUCCAGGACUGCGUGUAUCCGAAGAAAAAGCAUCGGCUAACUCCGUGCCAGCAGCCGAGGUAAUACGGAGGAGGCGAGCGUUAUCCGGAUUUCUUGGGUUUAAAGGGUGCGUAGGCGGUCCGGUAAGUCAGCGGUAAACUUGCGGGGCUCAACCCCGUCGCGCCGUUGAAACUGGCAGCCUUGAGUUGGCGAGCAGUACGCGUCAUGCGCGGUGUAGCGGU